Long non-coding RNA from Marmota monax (woodchuck), 3718 nucleotides. RefSeq lists it as uncharacterized. NCBI's taxonomy places the organism in Eukaryota, Metazoa, Chordata, Mammalia, Rodentia, Sciuridae. The transcript has 2 exons. The record is from RefSeq and is a predicted model, not a curated record.
CGAAUUUGGAAUGGUCCUAUGCUCAUCGUCUACCUGUGACUCCGUCUUCCCAGGGAACCCAGCUCAGUGUUGUGAGGAUGAAUGGGGUGAUGACUCAUGUGGACUGGGGACGAUGGCCGUGUCAGCCAGGAAGACCAUGCUCGGGUGCCCCUCAGGUCCUUCCACAAUGUCCACAUCCUGAUUAACCCCCACCGGGAGCUGCAGGUGGCCACGCCCUGCGAGCUUCCUGCAGUUUCAGCCAUUACUCAGCAAUGCACAGCGGCUCAAGGUCACCUCGGCACCAUCUGUCCACCUCCCUCCCUCCCACCCCAGGGACAGGGGAGAGAUUACCCUCCACCCCCUCUCCCUCCCUCACACGCUGCCCUCCCUGAAGCAGGCUUCCUGACUCCAUCUAAAUCACCUGUCUCCCGGGGCCUUGCCAACAUGCCUCUCCUCUGCUGCCCACUCCUGCCCACAGAUGUGAUGGACAACGCCAGGCCUGAGGCUUGGUGCAUCCCGCAAAUCAGAGGAGAACUGGCUUCCUCCCCAUUAUAGGAGCCCUCGCCGUCCACCAGGCCUUGGUGGAGCUCGCUGGCCACUGCAUGUGACGCUGGACGUGCAUGCCCCUGUGGGAGAACUGGGCCAAGACGCCACGGGGCAGACCCGGGACCCGCCUGGUCCUGCCAAGAGUGAGACCAGGAGCUGGGUGCCGGCCAGGGCCCAGGCCCUCGUGGCCUCCAUGACAGACCGUCUGCCUGGAACCAACAGAUGGACACGGUCCACACUGAACCAAGGUGCUCUCUGUGCAGGACAUCUGUGAGUCACCAGACCAGCCCUUAUCACCGGGUGGGUCAUCAUCGCCAAAGAAGAAGAGGGUGCAUUUCCCCAGACACUGCUGACCGCUGGCCACCUCAGACGGGUCCGUUGCAGAGCAGCCCACACCGUUUCUGCACCAGGCUCCCCUCUGCCCCAGGGGACUACUUGUUCCUUUUCCUGGCGUCCUCGUGGGUGUGGACAGUUCAGAUCCCCACCUCCCCUGUCCCCGGGCUCCACUCCUCCCAGCGCCCUCAGCCCUCCCCUGCAGAGCCGCUGCCCUCCUACUGCCCGGGCUGGGCCACAGGAACCACCUGCCCCCCACCACCUUCCCAGGCCAGGCUCCACUCCUUCCCCCAGUGCACCCCGCCAGGCCCCCUCGAGGCUCCCGACACCCUCCGUCCCCAGCCAAGAGCUCUAACCGCCCCCUGACACAGGUGGGAGAGGAGCCCGCCGCUCUCCUCCCCACAGAGGUGUGUGCCCGGAGCCUGCCGCAUGAGCCGGCUGCCUUAGGCUUAGAUUCAGGGUCCGCCCUUAACUUCUCAGCUGGCUCUCGAGGUGGCAAGUCUAGGGGCACCUGAGGGGGUCUCCAGAGCCAGGAGCCGAGUAAAUUUCUAUUCUUCACAAAUUAUGCUGCCUCCAUAUUUUGCGAUAGCAACAGAAACCUCACUGAGAUCCCCCCUCACAGCUCCUCUGCUGAGUGGCCAGGGACCUCCUCACCUCCUGCCAUUGUCCCGAAGCCCAACUUGCCUGGUCCUCUUGACACCAUGUCUGCUAAGAUUAGUGCUGUGGGGGCUGGGUCAAGGCCACCACGCCAGGGUCACCUUCCUCAGUGGGGUACGGAGGGUAGGUAGUAGAACUGUGUCCCUAGGAGACUGCUCAAGUCCUAGCUCCAGAGCCUGUGACCGUGACCUUAUUUGGAAACAGGGUCUUUGCAGGUGCCAUCACGAGGGACCCUCAUGAAAUGAGGGGCCUGGGACACACGCACACACACAGGAACAUCCCACGGAGACACAGAAGGAGAGACACGGAGGGGAGCGGCCACCUGAGCACAGAGCAGAGCCCGGACAGACGCAUCUGCACGCCCAGGAACGCCAAGGACAGCCACCGCCACCACCGGGAGAGGGGCCUGGGCUCCCGGCUGUGUUUUAGGUCACCAGCUACAGCAGCCACAGGACCCUGAGACCAGCUCUGAAUCCAGUGUGCCUGCCCAGGUGCCACACCCGCGCCCCUGCCCCACCCAAGGCCCUCAGGCAUCCUCAGGGGGGCAGCCAGCAGAGCCCCCGCGUCCCCAGGCCGCUCUGGCGCCACAUCUGGAGACUCCUCACCCUUAAUCGUUCCUAAUGCUCUAACACACGAUGACUAAUGGGCUCUAAUUGGCAGCCUCGCGGGGAGCGGUGGCCUGGGGAGCUCUGCCGUGCCCUCCGCGACCUGCACAGCCUCCUUGCCGCGCACUCCCGGAGCUCCAGAGUCACCGGGAAAAAAUCGCUGGUCCAUUUUUCUAUUUCUUAAAAAAUGCCGCAGCAGUGCCAACGAGCCACUGUGCCCUUCAACCACCAGAGACAGGGCGAAGGAAAGGGUGGAGGAGAAGCAACCAGAUGGGACAAAAUCUCACAAAUGCCACUGAGGCCUGUGACAGCUGCCGGAGACACGCAGGAGGCCUCUUGGAGCAAGCCCAGCGCGAGUCCAUCAGGGAGCGUGGAGAGAGUCUGGCAGAGUCCAGCCCAGAUUUCCCCUUGAAGGGAAGCGACCAGGCACCUCUGAUACCUGCUCGUCUCCCCCCGACCCGAGGGUGCCGCGCACCGUCCUUCCCAGACUGCAGAGAAGGAGCCAGAAGGUGGAUGGGGCCACGCAGAGUCAGGCUGACAGAUGCGGGGACCCAGCAGAGAGUUCAGAAAAGCUGGAGGCACCCAGAAUCCUCAACUGCUGGGGGUCAGAGAGACAGAGGAGGAGACGGGCAGCCCGGGUCCAGGCCCUGUCUCCUGUCAGCAGGGCCCACUGCAGAGACAGUCCUGGCAGAGUUCAGAGGAAGGGGUUAGAGAGGUGAGCCGGGUUCAUUCUCCAGGAGAGGAGGAAGCCCUGGGGUCUUCAGACGGAUCCCUGUUUCCAAAGGUUGGCUCAAGCUAAGGGCUCGUGUUGAGCUGUCGGAUGCCACCAGGACCUGCCCCACACCUGGGGAUGGCAACCACAAGUGUCACAGAGACACCUCAGUGGCUCCCGGUGCCUCUAGGUAAAGCCCCGCUGUCUCUCCCCACCCUGGGAGACCACCCCUCAGACAGUGCCGGGCACACCAGCCGCUGAUGUGGGCAGUGGAGGCUCAGCUCAGCCGGGUGCCAGGGGCCCUGUGAUGGAUGCUGGUUUAACAGCUUUUAAAAACAAGCAGACAAGAGACGGGCGUGAUGGAUGAGUGCGGGAAGCAGCCUCAUUUGGGGAUGAUUUAUGAGAGUCGCGUGUUGCCACUCAUGGGUGCAGCCCCGAGGAUGGGUCUGGGGAGACGGAUGGGCUCCAGCACAGAGCCCCUGAGGGGCGUAGACCGCUCGCUGUGUCCCCACAGCGUGCUGCUCGUGCCUGGCCAGCUUGUGCCACCUGGCCAUCAGGUGGCCACGGCUUCCCAAGAACCAAGGUGCUCCCGCCCCGAGAAACGUCUGGAGAAGGGACAGCCAGCCAUGCCUUCAGCUCCUGAGUGACCCCAAGACACACUGGGUUGGGAGAAUUCUGUCCCCUGGAGUGGCAAGGGGGACGCCCAGGAGGGAAGAGCAUGCGAUGCCCACCAGCUCUAGUCCCCAACGCUGUGGCCAGGUCGUCUCCUCCCACAUCUGAGGGACCAUCGGCCCCAGGCCUCAGCCACUGCACGUAGCAGACAAAUCUCGUUUUGCCGAGAUUAAUUUCCAUCCAGGUUUUUAAUAAAGACUCGUAAUUUACUGUA